RNAcentral lists this long non-coding RNA (6303 nucleotides) under Apis dorsata (giant honeybee). RNAcentral's name for it is "uncharacterized LOC116185911". The record is from RNAcentral. Lineage: Eukaryota; Metazoa; Arthropoda; Insecta; Hymenoptera; Apidae.
UAUAUAUAUAUAUUUAUAUCAUAUACAAACAUAUUUAUAUAUGUUUAACGGUGGUGGUGCUCAUCUUACGAAUAUAUACUUUCCUUGCAUUUUUCUAUGAUAUAUAAAUACGAGGCGUACGCGCUUGCACACAUUCCAUUACAUUUUUUUGUUUGUUUUUUUUUAAACUAACCCAUGUGUACAUAACUUGCUUCUUUGUUCGUAACGCAUAUAAACAUCAAGUAUUUGAUUAACCCGAUUUAAAAUGCAUAUUUUACAUGUGCGCAUGUACGAUGUGUAUGUACAUAAGAAUACAUAUAUCGUAUAUUUAUCUUUGUGUGUUUAUAUGCAUAUAUAUAUUAUAUAUAUAUAAGAGCGUGUUCAUAUAUACAUAUAAAUACAUAUUGGGAUACAUACGCGUGUAUGUUUACAUGUAUAUAUACACGUACAUAUACACAUACAUACAUAUAUACGUAACAUAUAAACAUACAUCUAUUACACAAUGUUUUCCACUCGAUAUAUGUACUAUUAUCAUAUAUCUAUAUUGCGUAUGGGAACAUAUUUGUAUACAAUUGUUAAUACUGCUCAUAGUGUUGUAUUUUAAAUGGCAUUCGAAUUUCGUUCUACCUAUGCCAUAUGAUUUCACGAUUUUGUACGUUAUUUGCUACCGUUUUUACUUUCCAAGUGUUUAGGCUGUUUUCGAAGAGAUUUAAAUAAAAAUUAUAAAGAAGAUACGAAGUGACGAAAUGCGAGAAAGUUGGUUGAUCGCGGUCGAGCGAUUUCUCGAUCACGAUGUGACAAACGCUCGUUCGAGUUUUAAUCAUGUGAUUAUACCAAAGAAGAAAAAGAAGAAAAAGAAAGAAAAAGAAAAUCGAUCGAUGUACUUAUUUGUACACCGGUCGGCUUAUACGUGGAAUUUCGUAUUUUCGUAUGCUUUUUUGCUACGAAAAUCCUUUGUUUUUUUAAUAUUUUAAUUGGGAUAUUUGCAUUUUUAUAUUUUAUUGUUAUUUUUUCCCUUAUUCUAAUAAGCAAUAUUUUCUAUAUUUGGCUUGUUAGUCACGGGAAUAUGCAUGAAUUCGGCAUUGAAUUUUAUGGCAAAUUUUUUUGGAUCAACACGAGUCGAUAUUAUUUGAUCGAUUCGUAAGUUGACCAUAUUUUGCCAUAUCGUGUAUGUGAGUGCCUAUAUUUUUGGAAAUGAAUAUAACAGAAAAGAAGAAAGAACAUGCUGAAGAAAAAUCUGAAUCUACCAUGUGAUGUGGUAAAUAUGGUAAAUUAUAAUACAGCUAUUACAGCGAUAUAAGAGGUAGUAUUUCAUUCAUUUCACUGCGCAUUUAUGUACUUAUUAGAUUUGCUGCAUUUUUUGCAUUUUUUGCAUUUUAUGGUUAUAUAUCAUUUACAUAUAUAUAUAUAUAUAUAUUAUAUAUAUAUAUAACAUUUUAUAUUGCUAUACAUUUUACUUGCGUAUAAUUUCAAUUUAUAUACGUACAUGAUUUUUAUAAUAUCUGAUCUUUCAUCAUUUUAUUUUGUUAUUGUAAAUAUGGGUCACAUUUAUUAUCGGAUUACCUGAUCAAUAUAAUUUUAGGUAAGGAAAUUAGAUUGUUCAAUAAUUCAAUAGCAAUGCUGUGAUCCUAUUUGCAAUACCGUAUGUUGUUCAACCAUAUAUCGUAUCGUAAUACGAGUUUACAUUGUCUUUUGUAAAAAAAAAAAAUUAUACAUUAAAACGGUCUGUAGCAAUAUUUUCGCUAUUCACGAUCGUUUUUCCGAUCAUAUAUCAUUUCGACAUGUGUAAUGAUUUAAUUUAUUUUUCAAAUGAUCUUCACGUUUUUUUUUUAAUAUUUCAUGAUGCAUUGAAUAAUCUUGCUCAACGAUUUAACAAUAAUAGAUCUUUUUUUAGAUUUUCUUCUACACAAUGAUAAAUGAAAUUAGCGAGAAAUCGCGUUUCUCAUCUUUUGUAAUUCUAACAAUAAUAAAUUGCGUGUAGCUUUUUCGAGCAGUUAUCACGAUGAUUGCUCGGAUUUUUUAUUUUAAACUUUUAUCUGCAAUAUAUACGUGCAUCAAUAUAUUGUGUUGUUACAUCAACGAGAAGAGAUAAGAACCGAUGUUUUCCAGUGAUCCGGAUAAAAGAAGAAUUUCGUUGUUUGUUUCUAUUUUCGAAAAUUUUCCAUUUUGAAAGUUUUUGGAAGUAGAAACGACUAAUUACAGUUUACUUUUUUUUUCUUUUUUUUUUUUUUACAAAUUUCGAAAAUUCUAUUCUCCUUUUUUCUUCAUUUUGUUUUUAAUCAAGUAAGUUAUCUUUAUACGUAUAUUUAUUUUUAAGGAACAGAUAACAAUUUCGAUCAUUCAAAGAUAUCCAAUUUGAUAUCUUUUUACGAACGAAUAUAACAGCAAAUUAUGCUCGUGUUUUUUCUUAGUGUUUGUACGAUUAAAUGUCAGUGUUGAAAUCUAUAAGAAGAUUCUUCUUAGAACUUCAUUAUGGAACAAUCAGGUAAAAGGUGGUAUGACUCGAUAAUUUUUUUCCUUUUCAAUAUUAAAGUAAGUUCUAACUGCAGUUAGAUUUACAUUUAUAAUAUUUAUAUUGUAUACGACGUAUAUUGUUUCGUUUUUUGCCUAUACAUAUAUACAUACAUACAUAUAUAUAUAUAUAUAUUUCACAUGUUUUUCUUCUAUAUACAUUUUAUUACUUUUUGCAGCCAAGCUUUUAUGUGAUUUUUUUAUCGCUCAAAUUAUCUAAAUGUUUUAUUCUUAUAAUUGUUAGUAUUCUAAGAUAAUUUAUUUAUGUCUAUUAUUGUUUUAUAUGAUAUGACAAUUUUAUAUGUGUAUAUUAUUUACAAUAUCAAUAAUCGUUGACUUUUUAUAUAUUUUUAUACAUCGAUUAUAUAUCGUAAUUUACAUUCAAUUUCAGCAUCAUAAAAUUUGAAACGAAUUUUUUUAUAAUUAUCGAAUGUUGAAUAUUAUGUAUUUAUUUUUUUUGUAAGAAAAAAUUUAAGUGUUUUUUGACGCAAACGUACAUGUUUUUUACGUACGUUUAUAUAUGGUAUAACCUAAGUUCAAAUGUCACCACAAACUUUUUGUCGUGACAAUAAUUGUUUUUACAUUGCGCAUCCACUUCGAUGCUGCAUUGAUAUUUACGAUAUUUAUGCAUAAUGUUUAUAAAAUUUGUGAAACUUCUUCUGUUUUCAUCUGUUUAAUAUGUCGUUCGCCAAUUGUUCGAAAGUGAAGCCAAAAAACGCUCGGUUUUUUUUCAAAAUUCCAAGAAAAUUGGAGUUUUCGAGAUUCUGUGCCAAGUGAACGAAAAUUUUACGACUGUGAAGAAUGUUUAUAAAGAGUGUUCGUGAUAUGUUUUGGAGGCAAUCGGUUAAAUAUAAAAAAAAAAGGGUUAAGUAUUUUAUCUUGCGUGUUGUAUCGUCACGCAAGGUAUUACAUAUUUUUAUAUACUUUAAUAAUAAUUAUAAUAAUAAUAAUAAUAAUUUUUCGUAGAAAUGAUUGUUCGUAUAAAUUUGAUUCUUACAGUUAAUUCUUCUCUAAUUUUAUGUGAACAAGGGAACAAGAAUUAAUAAUAAUAUUUCGAACAAUCAUUUUUAUCAUAAUUCAAUAAUGUUUAAAAUUUUUAGUAGACGUUAUUUUGUCAAUGUUAUAUAUGAAUUUUUAUCGUCUUUCUUUUUACGAUAUUGUUCCGAGGUUUUAUACCCGAUCUCUAUGUCUCUUCGCUCGAAAUAUCAAGUCGUUUAUCUUUUUCAGUUUUCUAGGAUAUAGUUUUCAUUUUAAUUUGUCUUCUUUUUUUUCUUUAUUUUUAACCCAAUGGAUCUUCUCCCUCCUAUCGUUUCGUAUAUAUAUAUAUAUAUAUCGUUUGGAUUAAAUUUCACGAGUAAUCUUUUCUUUUAAAGAAAAAUUAUCAUUCGUGCCAUCUAUUCAAAUGUGUCAGGCAAUUCAAUUUUUUUUUUGACGUUAAUCUCGCAUUCACUUGUGGUGCAACGUUAUAUAUUGCUCUCGAUUUCAUUUUCAAAUAACAAAUGGUUCAAUUUUUGAAGUGUGAUUGGAAGCUCGAAUGUGUAUUUUAUUGUGCGCGAGGGAAAUAGUAAAAUCGAUAAUUUUUAAAGGGUCGAAAAAUAAUUGAAAAAAAAAAAAAACGGAGACACGUUUAAAAGAAAAAUCACGAGAUGGAUGUACGUUCAAUCUUUACCUUUCGUACUCUAAGGCGCCAGAUAAUGAAAGACCAAUCGAUUGUACUUUCAUCCAUUGUGAUUUUUUUUUAAACGAAAUCGUUGAUCGUUAGGUGCUACCAAUUUCGAUGGUAUUGUUAGAUCGAAAAAUACAUUUCGAAUCGUACUAUGAUGUCCACGAAGUAUAAUGAAAGAUACGUAGAUAUUUCUAAUAAAUUUUUAUAAAUUCGAAUAAUUUAUUAGAAUAUUCUUACGCGAUUUUCAAGCAAGUAUUAAUAUCCCCGAUUUGACUUCAAUUUCUCGUUGCGGGUAUCGCAGAGAGGUCGUUGUCAUUUCGAGUAUGAAUGCUAGCAAAAUAUUCGUGGAAAAUUAGUAAGAUGAGAAGCAUAAUAUUUUCCAUCUAACAAUGCCUUUGGAAUUUAGAAUGCAAGUAUCUUGAGUAUAUAGAUAUGAGAUGAAAAAAUUGAGAAUGAGUGAAAUUUCGUAUCAUUUUUUAAUUUAUACGAUAUUACAUUCCAUCAGACGUAUAUAACAAAUAGUACAUCUCGCUUAUCCUCGAUAUAAGACGAGAUAUAAUUUUUCAAUCCAAUUUUCAAGUAUUUACAAAUGGAAGAUAGUCGCUUGUGUUUCCGUUGUUAUGGUUGCUCGAAUUUAUCUAAGAGGCGAAUUUCUCUCUACGUUCAUAAAUACGGACUGUACACACGAUUCGAAUGGACGAGACGAAACGAAGUAGACGAGAGGCUGUCAACAUUCAUAGGUAUAUAUACGUGUAAUCGUUGUUCCUCCAAUAAUGUUUGCUGCGCAGCGAUCAUUAUUGUAAGAUCAAACGUGUACAUCGUAUCGUUUUUUAUCGUAAUGGGAAUCUUAAUUUUGACGAACCGCACCACGACAUAUCUUCUCCAGCGAUGCUUCUCGACGAGACACCAACGAACGUCUAGGCAGACGAGAGAGAUAUUGGUAUAUACGGAGAGAAAGAGUGAGCGAAAGGGAGAGAGUACGAAUGAACGUGUGUACGAUUGCGGUGAGGGACCCGACGGUGUUUCAGAAUCGAUUUUUGGCUAUUGUUGCUCGCGAUGCGGUCGACGUUAUGCCGUCCAAUAUUCUUUGGACAGGCAUCAGAAGUAUGAGUGUGUGGAGUAGAAAAGCAGUUCUGCAUUAACUUGCUGUCGUCGUUUCACUCGGCUGGACACGUCAGAGGGCACAUCAGAAGCGGACCGGUCACCACUUGGCGCCUUGUUCCAGAGGAAGGUUUUCCAGAUCGAAUCAACAUGUCUCCAUCGCAAUUUUCCCGUCACUCUCGAGGAGAGACCAAGUAAAGGAGAAAAUUAUUCCAUAAUAAUACGUUUCCCCUUUUCGUUGUUCUCUUACUUAUAUAUUAUCCCUCCAUUGUGGCAUAACACCGUUCCACCAUGAAAAGUCGGAGAGAGUCGACGUAUCACGACGCAAAACAUGUCCUGUUAUAAUAAUAAUAAUUGAGCAAGUAGAGUUCUGUAAAUUAUUUUACUUGUUCGAGUUUUUGUAGUUUGUCGAAUUCAUAAAUAUACAAUGCGUACCUUUCGUAAAAAGAUUAGAAGUAUUUCGUAAGGCUUGAUCGAUUUGCUUUUUCUAGAGUUACUUGAUUUUUCAAUGUUGCGAAAACUUACCGUUUUUUUUUUGUGAUUGUGUCAAGUUGUUUGCGCGAGUCUUUAAAUGUGUAUAUUAUACGAUCAAGCCUUAAAAAGUUAAAAAUAGUUCUCUUAGUUCGUGACACGUUAAUUUUCAAAAACGGAUAGGAUUUGGUCUUCUGACUGGUAAUAUUGCGUCGUUGCGAUUCGUGCGAGUAAUAUCGAUUAAUAAUAAUUAAUAUCUCGAAUUAUUAACUAGCUUCGAUUAGAAGUAAUAAUUUGAAAAAAAAAUUUUAUUGUUAGUAAUAUAUAUAUAUAUGAGACAAGAAAACGGAAAAUAUUUAUUGUAAAAAAUUUUCAAAAUUUAAAAUUGUCUAAUUGUUAAUUGGAAAAUCAAAAUCGGGUUCUUUUUCUCGUAAAUAAUUGUACAAGUAAUUCUAUAAGAGAAUUGCAGUAAGACAUUGUUCCAAUAAAUAAUAUUUGUUGAAAAUAUUAAGAUAAAACUAUUCGUACUGCGAUAAAUACAUUUCAUCUAUCUCAGAUGGAAGAAGAAUGUUUGU